RNAcentral lists this ribosomal RNA (180 nucleotides) under uncultured Glomeromycotina. RNAcentral describes it as "partial small subunit ribosomal RNA". The stretch from base 91 to 180 matches the Rfam family "Eukaryotic small subunit ribosomal RNA", at positions 736 to 828 of the family's 1831-position model. The record is from RNAcentral. Lineage: Eukaryota; Fungi; Glomeromycota.
GACCUGGCUGGGUGGUCUUUCCGCAAGGUUAGCACUGCUCUGGUUGGGUCUUUCCUUCUGGGGAACCAGCGUGCUCUUAAUUGGGUGCGCUGGGGAUCCAGGACUUUUACUUUGAAAAAAUUAGAGUGUUUAAAGCAGGCCUACGCUUGAAUACAUUAGCAUGGAAUAAUAGAAUAGGAC